Molecule: long non-coding RNA, 3309 nt
Organism: Spodoptera frugiperda (fall armyworm)
Lineage: Eukaryota; Metazoa; Arthropoda; Insecta; Lepidoptera; Noctuidae
Exons: 3
Source: RefSeq, a predicted model, not a curated record
CACGCCGGCACGGCUAGUCAGCCGACCGACUUCGGCCGACGCGCACGGCGCGACUCCGGCACGCGAACUUAACGGACGAAAUGAAAGUGUAACGUGUUGUUUAGAACUCAGAUUAAGAUAUCAAAACACCAAAAACAAUGCAGUAAAAUGAGAAUAUCAAUCGGUUCGUCACGCGCAGAAUGUGAGGGGAGUUAGCCAGUGACAUGCAACUUGUAAUGCUGAAUUUUCUAAUCAUGUUCGACGUGGUGUUCAUAUUCUUCCUGUUCCUGAUCGCUGUGACGUGUGUUAUGAACUAUAUGCCGGGCCGGAGCAAGCGGGCUGAGGUCACGGAGGACGAGGUGGACGAUGACGUCAUCCCCCCUCCCCCACUGUUCGCAGGAGAUGACAUUGAGGUUCCUACCAGUCGAGACACAUACGUGGUGAUUGCGCCGCCGCUAGACAACGUUAGAGCUAAGGGCAGCUGUCCUGUUCAUGUGGUGUAGUAUAAGCACUGAUAUAAUAUAUCAACGUAGGAGUUUAUAACGAAGAAGCCUUAUGAGAAUGUAGGUGUCGAAAUGUAGACAUUUUUUACCAAUUAGUCGAGUUUUAAAUAAAUUCUUGUUAUAAAGACUAAGAUGGUGGAUUACGGGAAUCAAGUGGAUGUAAAUGAGUUGGUCUGUAUCAUGGGUACUAAACAGAAACCUCUUUCGAUUGCACUUUACGAAGACAUAGGUAUAAACAUAGAGCUGUAAUGCAAAAUAAAAAUAAUAAAUGUAUAGGAGCCGUGUAUAUUGAAAUGUAAUAAAAAUAGUGGCAGUAUUAGAAACGAGUAGCACUAAAUAUUUUUUUAACAUAUUAUUUUAAUAUUCGCUACUGCGUCGCGCAAAUCACAUGAGUACGUUGAAUCAAUUAUGUUGGGGAUUCCAAUAACGUUAUACUCGCUGACGGAUUUAGGGGCCACGUCACGGAGCUGCGACAACAGGGGACUACGCCGCAAAUAUAUAGGUAAUAGACAUGUAAAUAGUCGGAAAACUGAAUAGACCCAGAACGAAAUAAAAGAGGUUUACCCACACCACUGAUACACGGCAAAGCUACGCUAAAUUGAAUGUCAAUAACACACUAAUCGAAUACUUGAAGCUAUCCGUGGUAUUAUGAGAACAUCGCAGUUUUGAGUACAUGUGCUAACACAUUUUGAUACUUUUCAAUGGCCUAAUAGAGUUCCGUUUCCAAUGAAUGUAACAUGCAUAAACAAAUUUGAAUUACGCCUAACUAUGUAAUCGCAUGAGUAAAUAAUUUGUUAUGUAAAGUGUUCAAUAUUCAGAGCAAAUAUAAUGCAAGUGCUUGUAUAAGAUGAAUGUGACUGAAUUAUAGAUAAAUGGUUAAUAAUAUUAGUGUAAUGAAUUAGUUAUACGUUUCGCUUGCUACAGUAUUUGUAUGACAUAGGUAACAUCGUAAAGCUAAUUCUUAGUUCGUCUUUGCUACUAAUGGAAGUAUUGUAAGAUUUCAAAAUGGCUGCCUAAUUUAGUUAUGAGUGUUCUGAAUAGGUAUGUAAAGUGUUAUUGGCUUUUACGAAAAAUGUAUUGUUGGAUGUUUCGACAACUCUUCCUGCUCUUUACAACCUCCAGUACUUAAAUUCCCAUAUAAAAUAUGAUGUCUAUAUCUUUAUUCUAAACUAUUGCGGCCAUGAAUGUUCUCGCUAUAUCUUAUAAACUAGAAGCGUGGUACGUUGUCUAAAUUAUCAUUCGCUGAAUAUGACGCGACAGUCCCUUGGAGGCUUAUCCCAUAAGCUUGUCUAUUUCCGGGCUUCAGAGCGAGUUUACGCACAUCACUAUAACUAGGAAACGAGAGAAAAGCGUUCACAUUUGUGACAUAAACUUUUAUAGAACCAUUUUUCCAAGAAUAAUCUAGAAAGUCUAUUUCAUCAUUAGAAUUAUUGUAAUACAGAGUCAGAACUAUAAGUGUAUAGACUAGAGGGCGAUAAACCUUUGUUCCUAUUCAUUUAAAAAUACCUAGAUUGAAUAGUGAAUUAUUCAUUUGUAAGGAACAAUGGGCCCAAAUGGAGGUGCUCAGGCUCACCACCAAUUAUUACAAGAUCAACGUAUUAUUGAAUUUCUCUGAAGCAGUGACGUCAGAGCUCGCUCUGAAGACCCUUUAUCUCUUCCUAUCGUGACCUAUAAUACCCCUAUAUCCCUAUCUAUUGUCACAAGCCAGGCCUGAAUCACAACGCUUCACCGCUUGCGUCGAAAACAUUCAAUUAUUCGUAAUUAAGAUAAUAAUUUGAAUAAUGAUACAAAUAUCAAUAGACUAACACAAAUAUUUAGAAAUAGUUUAUACAUUAGAUUUAAGAGGUUACUAUAAUAAAAAACGACAAUACAUGUUACGAUGGUUCUUUCAUAUCAUUCUGGUUAAGUGAUUCGUAUUCUUGUAAUUAUAUUUUUUUUUAUUGACAAGUCGAUAGUUUUCUGUAGUCCAUUUUAAAUUAUGAAUAUGUCAACUUAUUAUAAGUAGUUUAGUUUUUUUUUAUUUACUUUUUAAAAUUCUCUCGACUCGCUGUUCUAAAAUUAGAAAGGGCGUAAACUUGAAUUUUAUAUGGAGUGAGUUUAAAAAACCUUUGUGCGGACACAAAGAUAAAUAAAGUGGGUGCGGUUCGCUCUUCAGAUACUCAGUAUAAAAAAUGAUGAAAAGUAAAAUAUUUCAUAAUUUUCUAUGUAGAACAAAUGUUUGAAUACAAUUUUUGUUUUUUGUAUAAGUAAUUCCAAGAUAUUUAUGUUGUCCGCAUUUAGUAAAUGGUAUGUUUCUUAAUGCUAAUUAAAACGUGAAUGUAGCGAAUUAAUUACCAACAUAAUAGAUAUUUCUUUAGACAUCUUUACAGACCGAAACAUUAAUGAAUUCGUUUGGAAUUCUUGGAAACUUCGGCAGCUAAGUUCAUUAAGUAUUUGUUGGGCACCCCUUAAAUAAAUCAUUCUAAGACUUCGCAAUGAAAAUGUCGAACAUUUUUUGAAGAAAAUGAAAUUAAAUCUCACUCUAUUUGUUUCACUAGUUCGAAACUUUCAUUCAUAUAGAGCGUAGGUACCUGAAACAAAUUUAACACAAAAUAUUAAUUAAAGAGGUAAAAAAAAGAUAAAUAAAUUAUUUCAAAAUUUGAAUAGUAAUGAGUAUAAAAAUCAAAAAACAUACACUAUGUGAUAUAAAUAUACACAAUUUUUAAAAAUGUAGUUGUAUAGAAGAAAUUAACGCAUUGUUUUGAAUUUAUUGUUAUAUUUGCGUUAUCUGAGGACGCAUAAUAAUAAUGUAAUUAAUAAAAUGCACUAAGGCAGUGUCGUCAUAAUA